Molecule: long non-coding RNA, 3324 nt
Organism: Varanus komodoensis (Komodo dragon)
Lineage: Eukaryota; Metazoa; Chordata; Lepidosauria; Squamata; Varanidae
Exons: 2
Source: RefSeq, a predicted model, not a curated record
GAGUGCAGGAGCGAGGUCGGGAGGAGCCCGGAGGGGCGGUCUGGUGCUGUGCUGGCCGUCCAAAGAGGAAAGGACGGGGGCGCCGUCGACCCAGCCGGCCUUGCUUUGUGGCGGGAAUUAGCUGUCACCCCGGGCACGUUACCUGAGAGAAGCCCCGCCGAACCGUUUCGAGGAAAGCGGACAUCGGAGCCCGAAACGCGGCCGGGUCUCAGCCCUCGAAUACGAGCAGAAUGAGGGAAAUGGAGGACAAGUGUUGCUCCUGAAAAUAUGCAGAGCAUUUUCCCUGCUUCCCUAAAUACCUAUUGCAAAAUGACACCGUUCUGCAUUAAGUGCUAGUAAGGACAUUCCCGGACUGCAUUUCUAAGCAUGCUGCUUUGGAAGUAAGCCCCAAGGUAAUCAACAAAUUUCGUUGCCAAGUAAAAAAUACUUAGGUGUCAGUGGGAAGGUGGCUCAUCAUAGGAGAGGGAGAAUGAAAGUGUAAUGGCAGGCCCAAACUAAACAUGCCAACCGAGAAGGGAUGGACUCCGUCCACAUUGCCCCAUGUACAUUAGGCCCUGAUGUGGGGACCAAAAGGCACAAUCGAAAGUUUAGGUGUAAAUGUAGCAGAUCAAAGGAAAGGUUUUGUAUAGAGUGUUUUCCAUGUUGCAAGGAGAUUUUGACAUGUGGGCAUUCCCAAAUGAGGCACCUCACAUGCUUAUUUUAACAGUUCUGAACUCCAUUAUGUUCCUGACUGUUUGAAUCUGCUUUAUCACAAAAUCAAGAUAUGAUUAGCCAAAACCAGUCUCUUCCGGGAUGAUGAGAAGAAGGGAAGGUAAACAUGGAUGUUGUAGGCAAAGGAGAGAGAGGGAGAGAGAUCAAAAUCUAUCUCUUCUGAAGUUAUACAGAGAAUGUUUAUACAAGGAAAUGUGGCCAAACUGGUUGCAACUGGUCCUCAUCUUACCAGUUAGGAGUUUGAGUAGCUGCUAGGCAUGUCUGUCUGCACAUGACCAACCAAGGCAGAUAAAUAUUAUGUGCAAAGUAUGUAAGGCAGAGGAAUCUUCUUACCUUGGACCCUUACUCUCCAACUGGUAUUGCCUUUUUCUGUCUCUGGUCAAUGGGCCUUUACUUUUUUGUAGACAUUGUUGCCAGGUUUAGUUUUGCUCUUUGUUGGUUGGUGUAGUUGGCAGGAUCUUGGGUGACUGAGAACACCCCUAGAGGAGUAGGAUAGUGAAUGGAAGGGGGAAAAAACUUUUAAAAUGUUCUCCCUUGCCCGGUCCCCUUUGCUGGGUUCUUUGUCAGUCCCCACCUGAAGAUCACAAUCUAGCAAGAUGUUUGUGCCAAUCCAGCCAUGUCCAAAAGUGUUGAUGGGGUUGUCUGGAUGUUUCUUGAAUGGUCUCUUAGAAGAUGCUAGAACUCAAACCAAGUCAGGAUGCCCUGCACCUGCUAUGAGGCCUGUAGGGAUCUCAAGUGCAGGUGCGCUGCAUGUUCUAGUGGUGUGAGAAUGGCUCACUCUCCUGCUUGUCUAAGUCACUGAGUAGAUUGUGCAUAAUUCCUCACUUGAGAAUGAGGGAAGCUCAUAUCUUGCUGUACCAGAUAUGAGGAGCCCAAAGAGGAGCCCAAAGCCUGAAGUGUCUGGAAACGUGAUAUGGUGAGUGCUCCUUCUCCAUAUACCAGCCAUAAUAUGGAAAACAACAAGAAAUGUUUCUGUCUUAGCUCUGGAUUCCCAGUGAUGACAAAAUCUGCUGAGCAGCUUAAGAGAGAGGAGUUCGGUCCUGGUCCCCUCAGGAAAGAUCUUUUGACCAUGAGGUCCUCAAUCACCUUGCCCUAAGCUUAAAAAGGCCACACUAUUGUAUUCCUGAUUCCUGUGUAUGGAUGUGAAAGCUGCACAGUGAAGAAAGCUGACAGGAAGAAAAUGGAUGCAUUCGAAACAUGAUGCUGGAGGAGAGCUUUGUGAAUAUCCUGGAACAACAGAUGAAUAACCAGGGCUCUCUUUAGAGGUAAAAAUGACAGAACUGAGACUUGGGCCUAUCAUGAGAAGGCAAAGCUCCCUGGAAAAGACAGUCAUGUUAGGGCAAGUUGAAGGCAGAAGAAGAAAAGGAAGACCAAUUCUGAGAUGAACUGACUCCAUUAGGAAAGCCAUGGGCUUGAAUUUGUAAGAGCUGAGCUGGGCUGUCAUGGAUAGGACCCUUUGGAGAGCUUUCAUUUUGUUGUCCCCAAAGAAACCUCCACUCCAAAUGCAGAUCAAUAUGCAAGGCCAAACAAGUUAAAACCACACAUUACUACCUCUGUUCCUACCACUCCCUACUAUUUGGCUUAUAUAUGCUUCUUUCCACAGAAAUAGAUCUCUUAAAGAGAUGUCAUUACACAACUUCUACAUGGGGCUGACGUCUGGGAAUGGAAUGAGACGGUGCUUGUGCAGUUGGAAGUAGCCUAUAAUAAAGUCUAAGAAAAAUUUCAGGUCUUCCUCAGGUCACGUCUGCUGCCCACCUAAAGAAUGAGACAGGUUUAUUCUCAGCUAUUGUAAGGGCCCAUCUGAUAUUGUUUAAAUAUAUUAAGAAACUUGACAGUUUAACCAGAAGGCCACCUGGUUAAAACUAGUUAUUAGCACCAUUGUGCAGAAAGCAAAUAUGCUGCCUGUAUCUUAGAAAAGAACUCUCUCCCUCCUUUAAGUGAAGUAAAAUAUUGGGAUUUGAACAGAAUUCAAGCCCAGCUUGUUAUGCGAGAUGUCAAUCAAGACACUACUCCGAUCCAACUUUCCAAAUUCUUUUUGUGGUACCAGUACCCAUUUGAAAAAAAAAUCACAGUACUUAAUUAAAAAAAAAAUUCACAGUACUUAAAACUUUUAGCAGUAUUCCAUUAAGGAAGGCAUUUACCAAUUUACAUAUUCAAACCAUGCCUUCAGCGAAUCUUGAGGUGAGAUAGUCUAAAAUCCCUGUGGAACUGCACCUCUGGCCUGGAACAGGUUCAUGCAUAAUUCUCUCCAAUGACUUUAUUAUGCUUUUACAGAGAGGAAGUUGUUAGAUCAGAUUAUCAAUAUUUUUUAAAGUUCAAAAGUGGAAUAUAUCAACUUUUUACUGGCAGAAGUUUCCCUUCAUGUUAGUUACCAAGUGACCAUUUUUGCUGUUAUCUUUUAACAUUAGAAAUAACAUUUUAUCCAUUCCAUUAGCCUUCUGCCAGUCUGUAUUUUAGACUGAUUUUAGUAUUUUAUCCGUGUGUUGGGUUUGCAACUGCUUUGGGCUUGUACCCACAAUUUGCUCUUAUUUGUCUUUGUGUUUGUAUGUUUGGAUUGUGUUUUUCUUGUAACCUGUGGUUAUAAAAAUAAAAUAAAAAUAAAAUUUUACUUAA